This 450-nucleotide ribosomal RNA is filed under the name uncultured Microbacterium sp. Its description in RNAcentral is "bacterial SSU rRNA". It matches the Rfam family "Bacterial small subunit ribosomal RNA", at positions 335 to 797 of the family's 1533-position model. Lineage: Bacteria; Bacillati; Actinomycetota; Actinomycetes; Micrococcales; Microbacteriaceae. The record is from RNAcentral.
CGUCCUACGGGGGGCUGCAGUGGGGAAUAUUGCACAAUGGGCGAAAGCCUGAUGCAGCAACGCCGCGUGAGGGACGACGGCCUUCGGGUUGUAAACCUCUUUUAGCAGGAAAGAAGCGAAAGUGACGGUACCUGCAGAAAAAGCGCCGGCUAACUACGUGCCAGCAGCCGCGGUAAUACGUAGGGCGCAAGCGUUAUCCGGAAUUAUUGGGCGUAAAGAGCUCGUAGGCGGUCUGUCGCGUCUGCUGUGAAAACCCGAGGCUAAACCUCGGGCCUGCAGUGGGUACGGGCAGACUAGAGUGCGGUAGGGGAGAUUGGAAUUCCUGGUGUAGCGGUGGAAUGCGCAGAUAUCAGGAGGAACACCGAUGGCGAAGGCAGAUCUCUGGGCCGUAACUGACGCUGAGGAGCGAAAGGGUGGGGAGCAAACAGGAUUAGAUACCCCAGUAGUCUC